GAGUCGGCCUGCGCGGAAGAUGUAACGGGGCUAAACCAUGCACCGAAGCUGCGGCAGCGACACUGUGUGUUGUUGGGUAGGGGAGCGUUCUGUAAGCCUGUGAAGGUGUGCUGUGAGGCAUGCUGGAGGUAUCAGAAGUGCGAAUGCUGACAUAAGUAACGAUAAAGCGGGUGAAAAGCCCGCUCGCCGGAAGACCAAGGGUUCCUGUCCAACGUUAAUCGGGGCAGGGUGAGUCGACCCCUAAGGCGAGGCCGAAAGGCGUAGUCGAUGGGAAACAGGUUAAUAUUCCUGUACUUGGUGUUACUGCGAAGGGGGGACGGAGAAGGCUAUGUUGGCCGGGCGACGGUUGUCCCGGUUUAAGCGUGUAGGCUGGUUUUCCAGGCAAAUCCGGAAAAUCAAGGCUGAGGCGUGAUGACGAGGCACUACGGUGCUGAAGCAACAAAUGCCCUGCUUCCAGGAAAAGCCUCUAAGCAUCAGGUAACAUCAAAUCGUACCCCAAACCGACACAGGUGGUCAGGUAGAGAAUACCAAGGCGCUUGAGAGAACUCGGGUGAAGGAACUAGGCAAAAUGGUGCCGUAACUUCGGGAGAAGGCACGCUGAUAUGUAGGUGAAGUCCCUCGCGGAUGGAGCUGAAAUCAGUCGAAGAUACCAGCUGGCUGCAACUGUUUAUUAAAAACACAGCACUGUGCAAACACGAAAGUGGACGUAUACGGUGUGACGCCUGCCCGGUGCCGGAAGGUUAAUUGAUGGGGUCAGCGCAAGCGAAGCUCUUGAUCGAAGCCCCGGUAAACGGCGGCCGUAACUAUAACGGUCCUAAGGUAGCGAAAUUCCUUGUCGGGUAAGUUCCGACCUGCACGAAUGGCGUAAUGAUGGCCAGGCUGUCUCCACCCGAGACUCAGUGAAAUUGAACUCGCUGUGAAGAUGCAGUGUACCCGCGGCAAGACGGAAAGACCCCGUGAACCUUUACUAUAGCUUGACACUGAACAUUGAGCCUUGAUGUGUAGGAUAGGUGGGAGGCUUUGAAGUGUGGACGCCAGUCUGCAUGGAGCCGACCUUGAAAUACCACCCUUUAAUGUUUGAUGUUCUAACGUGGACCCGUGAUCCGGGUUGCGGACAGUGUCUGGUGGGUAGUUUGACUGGGGCGGUCUCCUCCUAAAGAGUAACGGAGGAGCACGAAGGUUGGCUAAUCCUGGUCGGACAUCAGGAGGUUAGUGCAAUGGCAUAAGCCAGCUUGACUGCGAGCGUGACGGCGCGAGCAGGUGCGAAAGCAGGUCAUAGUGAUCCGGUGGUUCUGAAUGGAAGGGCCAUCGCUCAACGGAUAAAAGGUACUCCGGGGAUAACAGGCUGAUACCGCCCAAGAGUUCAUAUCGACGGCGGUGUUUGGCACCUCGAUGUCGGCUCAUCACAUCCUGGGGCUGAAGUAGGUCCCAAGGGUAUGGCUGUUCGCCAUUUAAAGUGGUACGCGAGCUGGGUUUAGAACGUCGUGAGACAGUUCGGUCCCUAUCUGCCGUGGGCGCUGGAGAACUGAGGGGGGCUGCUCCUAGUACGAGAGGACCGGAGUGGACGCAUCACUGGUGUUCGGGUUGUCAUGCCAAUGGCACUGCCCGGUAGCUAAAUGCGGAAGAGAUAAGUGCUGAAAGCAUCUAAGCACGAAACUUGCCCCGAGAUGAGUUCUCCCUGACCCUUUAAGGGUCCUGAAGGAACGUUGAAGACGACGACGUUGAUAGGCCGGGUGUGUAAGCGCAGCGAUGCGUUGAGCUAACCGGUACUAAUGAACCGUGAGGCUUAACCUU
RNAcentral lists this ribosomal RNA (1794 nucleotides) under Escherichia coli. RNAcentral's name for it is "partial 23S ribosomal RNA". It matches the Rfam family "Bacterial large subunit ribosomal RNA", at positions 1151 to 2925 of the family's 2925-position model. Lineage: Bacteria; Pseudomonadati; Pseudomonadota; Gammaproteobacteria; Enterobacterales; Enterobacteriaceae. The record is from RNAcentral.